Oncorhynchus tshawytscha (Chinook salmon) is the source of this 799-nucleotide long non-coding RNA. Lineage: Eukaryota; Metazoa; Chordata; Actinopteri; Salmoniformes; Salmonidae. The record is from Ensembl.
UAGAAGUAAUGCAGUAGAAGUAGUGCAGAAGAGGUAGUGCAGUAGAGGUAGAGCAGUAGAGGUAGUGCAGUAGAAGUAGAGCAGUAGAAGUAAUGCAGUAGAGGUAGUGCAGUAGAAGUAGAACAGUACAAGUAGGUAGUGCAGUAGAUGUAGAGCAGUAGAAGUAGUGCAGUAGAAGUAGUGCAGUAGAGGUAGUGCAGUAGAAGUAGUGCAGUAGAGGUAGUGCAGUGGAGGUAGUGCAGUAGAAGUAGAGCAGUAGAAGUAGUGCAGUAGAGGUAGAGCAGUAGAAGUAGUGCAGUAGAGGUAGUGCAGUAGAAGUAGAGCAGUAGAGGUAGUGCAGUAGAAGUAGAGCAGUAGAAGUAGAGCAGUAGAGGUAGUGCAGUAGAGGCAGAGCAGUAGAAGUAGAGCAGUAGAGGUAGUGCAGUAGAAGUAGAGCAGUAGAAGUAGAGCAGUAGAAGUAGUGCAGUAGAAGUAGAGCAGUAGAGGUAGUGCAGUAGAAGUAGUGCAGUAGAGGUGGAGCAGUAGAAGUAGUGCAGUAGAGGUAGUGCAGUAGAGGCAGAGCAGUAGAAGUAGAGCAGUAGAAGUAGUGCAGUAGAAGUAGUGCAGUAGAGGUAGUGCAGUAGAGGCAGAGCAGUAGAAGUAGAGCAGUAGAAGUAGUGCAGUAGAGGUAGUGCAGUAGAAGUAGAGCAGUAGAAGUAGAGGUAGUGCAGUAGAGGCAGAGCAGUAGAAGUAGAGCAGUAGAGGUAGUGCAGUAGAAGUAGAGCAGUAGAGGUAGAGCAGUAGAAGUAGUGCAGUAGAA